AACGAACGCUGGCGGCAUGCCUAACACAUGCAAGUCGAACGCUACCUUCGUGCCUAGUGCCUCACGGGUGCGUAACGCGUGGGAACCUGCCCUUAGGUUCGGACUAACUUCACCAACGCGUCACUAAUGCCGGAUACUGUCAUCCGGCCAAAGAUUCCUCGCCAUUGUUUGUGCCGGAGUUGGAUUAGCUAGUUGGUAGGGUAAGAGGCUACCAAGGCGACGAUCCAUAGCUGGUCUGAGAGGAUGAGCAGCCACACUGGGACUGAGACACGGCCCAGACUCCUACGGGAGGCAGCAGUGUGGGAUAGUGGACCGUGGGCGAAAUCCUGAUCCAGCAAUGCCGCGUGAGUGAUGAAGGCCUUAGGGUUGUAAAGCUCUUUUACCCGAGAUGAUAAUGACAGUACCGGGAGAAUAAGCUCCGGCUAACUCCGUG
Molecule: ribosomal RNA, 433 nt
Filed under: uncultured bacterium
Lineage: Bacteria
Description: partial 16S ribosomal RNA
Rfam family: Bacterial small subunit ribosomal RNA
Source: RNAcentral